This 73-nucleotide transfer RNA is filed under the name Actinomycetes bacterium. Its description in RNAcentral is "Actinobacteria bacterium tRNA-Asn". It matches the Rfam family "tRNA". Rfam says of the family: Transfer RNA (tRNA) molecules are approximately 80 nucleotides in length. Their secondary structure includes four short double-helical elements and three loops (D, anti-codon, and T loops). Further hydrogen bonds mediate the characteristic L-shaped molecular structure. tRNAs have two regions of fundamental functional importance: the anti-codon, which is responsible for specific mRNA codon recognition, and the 3' end, to which the tRNAs corresponding amino acid is attached (by aminoacyl-tRNA synthetases). tRNAs cope with the degeneracy of the genetic code in two manners: having more than one tRNA (with a specific anti-codon) for a particular amino acid; and 'wobble' base-pairing, i.e. permitting non-standard base-pairing at the 3rd anti-codon position. Lineage: Bacteria; Bacillati; Actinomycetota; Actinomycetes. The record is from RNAcentral.
UCCGGGGUAGCUCAAUUGGCAGAGCGGAUGGCUGUUAACCAUUAGGUUGCGAGUUCGAGUCUCGCCCCCGGAG